RNAcentral lists this ribosomal RNA (253 nucleotides) under uncultured bacterium. Its description in RNAcentral is "partial 16S ribosomal RNA". It matches the Rfam family "Bacterial small subunit ribosomal RNA", at positions 524 to 776 of the family's 1533-position model. The record is from RNAcentral.
UACGAAUGGAGCAAGCGUUGUUCGGAAUCACUGGGCUUAAAGCGUGCGCAGGCGGCUCAUAAAGUCAGGUGUGAAAUCCCGGGGCUCAACCCCGGAAUUGCACUUGAAACUCAUGAGCUAGAAUCCCGGAGAGGUUAGCAGAAUUCCGAGUGUAGAGGUGAAAUUCGCAGAUAUUCGGAGGAAUACCAGUGGCGAAGGCGGCUAACUGGACGGGCAUUGACGCUCAGGCACGAAAGCGUGGGUAGCAAACAGG